Long non-coding RNA from Brassica oleracea var. oleracea, 2345 nucleotides. RefSeq lists it as uncharacterized. The transcript is spliced from 7 exons. Lineage: Eukaryota; Viridiplantae; Streptophyta; Magnoliopsida; Brassicales; Brassicaceae. The record is from RefSeq and is a predicted model, not a curated record.
GCGUCUGAUGACUUUCUCUGUCUCUUCUCUCUAACCAAACCACAUCUUCACUUUCUCUCUUAUGCCGCCACCACAACUUUAUGCGCUUCCGCCUCCGUCUCAAUACCAUUAACGUUCCACAUCCCCCGCUUCCUUUGGGCAUUCCCGCCCAAUCAAAACCAUAACAUAGGGCUUGGUGAUUAGAUUUGAGGGAUUUCGACGGGGUGUUGAUUGGGUGUGUUCUCUGAUUUGGAUGCCUUUGCGAGACUUCGUGGUAUCUCGGUUCUUGCAAUCCUCUGUUUCUUUGGCUUCCAAUCACCGCUACGACGACGACUCCAGUCAUAUUCAGAGGCUACGGUAGUAUCUACGAAAAUGGCGCGUCAGAGAGAGCCGCCACCAUCAUGGUUUACUUGCCUCAAACAAUCGUGCUACGCAAGCUUAGACACGACAGCAUCCGAGGGGAUUGUAUUGGCUCCUAAAUGACGGCUUAAAGAGUGAGUAAGUUUGCGAUUGAGCAUUGUUUUGCUGCAAGUGUUGGUAGAAUAGCUUUAGAACAACUACAUUAUCUAGAAUGUUUAUGAUACAAUCUGCUAUUGUUCAUCUACUUGGUGAGUGAUGUUUACAGGAACGUUGAGAGAGGUAUCCCGUCCUAACUUGAAUAUAAAAGUUUUAUCAGUAAACGAUAUAUAGGUGAUUAGCACAUGAUUACAUACUUAUGUAGUUCCUUAUCCAUUCUUUUUUUUUUUUUUUUCUUCACAAUUUCUAUAUGAUUGGUUGGAAUGAUAAUGGAGUGUAUAGAGUACUAAAGAUAGACCGGCUUGAUGCGUGUCGGAGCUUAACCUCAGUGAGGAUUCCACUGCCUAUACCAAAAAAGAUUGCUACGAGCUGCUUAAACGGAUAUACGAAGGAAACAAGGCCACCUGCGGCCUCAAACUUGUCACUCUCUGUUAUCGCAUCAUUGGGUUCAUUAAGUUUUUGGGACCAUACUACAUGCUGGUUAUCACUGAGAGAAGAGAGAUAGGUGAAAUUUGUGGUCACAGGGUGUAUGAAGUGUCCAAGAGUGAGAUCAUUUCUUUGCGAAUUUCUAGCGUGCUUUGCAACAUUGCAAACUCAAGUGACGAGAACAGGUACAAGAGGCUCAUGUGUAUGGUGGACCUUACAAAAGACUUCUUUAUGAUGCGUAGUUUCCAGAAGAAUAUAUGUGACCAUGAGAGUGGUGGUGCUCUCUAUAAGAAAAUGUUUGUGUGGAACGAGUUCUUGACUCGGGGAAUUCAAAAUCAUCUAUAGAAUACCGUGUGGACUGUAGCAUUGGUGUAUAGUUUCUUUAAGCAGACAAGUAUUUCUGAAGCUUGACGGACAUUUUAAACUCACUCCUAUUGCUAGGCGCUCCCGCCAUAAUGCUGGAACCAGCAUAUUAUGUGUGUGGUUAAUGUUGCAGUUAGAUGGGACUGAAGAGCUUGCAUUCCCGAAGGAUUCCAUAGCUCCGACCAGCAAUUCAUUGCAAUAAAACUAGCACCUUCUCAAUUGUUAAAUUCCUAACCAGGCAAUUCGAAUUUUGCAUCAGGAAAGGCGCCUUAAUUACAAAAAUAAUAGAAGACAUGCACUGACUUGAAAAGCAUUGAGGAAGGCAAGUUGCAACUGGAGACAGAAAAGUUUCAACUUGAGAGCGUCUUGGACACAAUCAUUAGCCAAGUGAUGAUUAUGUUGAGCGAGAGGAAGUCACAACUCAGGGUUGAAGUCGCCCCAGAGAUCAAAACUCUGCCUCUAUAUGGUGACAGAGUAAAGCUUCAGCUCAUUCUUGCUGAUCUUCUGCGCAACAUUGUGAAUCAUGCCCAUUUCCAGAUAGUUGGGUAGGAAUCAAGAUCUCAUCAAGCCACAAGCUUGCGCACGACAAUGAUCCCUAUAUCCAUCUUCAGUUCAGGAUGAUACAUCCUGGAAAAAGAAUUCCUUCAGAGAUACUAAGUGAUAUGUUUGAGACACGAGAUGGAUGGGUCACGCCUGAUGGCUUAGGACUCAAGCUUUCAUGGAAACUACUAGAACAGAUGAAUGGUAGUGUGAGUUAUGUUAGAGAAGACGAACGUUGUUUCUUUCAAGUGGAUCUUCAAGUUAAGACAAGGUUGGGUGUUGAGACCAGAGUAACAUAGACUGGUUCAAGCAUACAAUCGAGAUUCUGAGUUACAAAGGCAUAUAUAUAUAAUAAAAUUUGAUGAAUUUUGCUUCUUUUAUGGUCUGAAUGUGUUGUCAUUCAAACAAAGUUUCCAUUAUUUAUUUAUUUUUUUAUGUAUCAAUAAGAUGUAUCUCAGUCAUUCCUAUGUACAUGAUUAAGCAAACCAAGAAAGAAAAAACAAACAAACCAUAACCAUCAA